CUAAUGUCAAACAUCUACCCAUUAUUUAGUAAUAGGCACCCAGAUUUCAUUCUAACACUUGAACCUGUGACCUUGCACAGGAGAAGUAGCUAGAAGUUGGAUGGAUCGGUGAAAAAAAUAUAGCAACUAAAAAGUGGCAGUACUGGGACCGAGGAAGACGACCCAUCCACCCUCCAGUCACUAAUCCAAUGCUGUACAGGACACAAGACAGGAGCAGACCAUGGGUGAGAUGCCUAUCCUUCAGCGUGAACUUCUGCAUCUUGAAGAAUCCGUGGAAAUCACUACCCAGGAUUUUCACCUGUGGACACCCAUAGAGAAAACCUUCAGAGACAUGGAGAGAACAUGCAAACUCCACACACCCACAGAGCCAGGGACAGAACUACAACCCUGGUACCCACUGUACAAAGAAACUCAAGGAAUGUACACCACUUGAUGAUAUAUGAAGUGACCACACCCUUGUUUAAUGAAGCAACGAACUACACAAUAAUAUACCAGUUCACAAAUUCAUUAAAUGUUUUUUUUCUUCUACGGUGAA
This is a long non-coding RNA of Brienomyrus brachyistius, 535 nucleotides long. RefSeq lists it as uncharacterized. The transcript is spliced from 3 exons. Lineage: Eukaryota; Metazoa; Chordata; Actinopteri; Osteoglossiformes; Mormyridae. The record is from RefSeq and is a predicted model, not a curated record.